AACGAACGCUGGCGGCAUGCCUAACACAUGCAAGUCGAACGAGACCUUCGGGUCUAGUGGCGCACGGGUGCGUAACGCGUGGGAAUCUGCCCUUGGGUUCGGAAUAACAGUUGGAAACGACUGCUAAUACCGGAUGAUGACGUAAGUCCAAAGAUUUAUCGCCCAAGGAUGAGCCCGCGUAGGAUUAGCUAGUUGGUGAGGUAAAGGCUCACCAAGGCGACGAUCCUUAGCUGGUCUGAGAGGAUGAUCAGCCACACUGGGACUGAGACACGGCCCAGACUCCUACGGGAGGCAGCAGUGGGGAAUAUUGGACAAUGGGCUAAAGCCUGAUCCAGCAAUGCCGCGUGAGUGAUGAAGGCCUUAGGGCUGUAAAGCUCUUUUACCCGGGAUGAUAAUGACAGUACCGGGAGAAUAAGCUCCGGCUAACUCCGUG
Molecule: ribosomal RNA, 433 nt
Filed under: uncultured bacterium
Lineage: Bacteria
Description: partial 16S ribosomal RNA
Rfam family: Bacterial small subunit ribosomal RNA
Source: RNAcentral